This 423-nucleotide ribosomal RNA is filed under the name uncultured bacterium. Its description in RNAcentral is "partial 16S ribosomal RNA". It matches the Rfam family "Bacterial small subunit ribosomal RNA", at positions 360 to 774 of the family's 1533-position model. The record is from RNAcentral.
AAUAUUGCGCAAUGGGGGAAACCCUGACGCAGCGACGCCGCGUGAGCGAAGAAGGCCUUAGGGUCGUAAAGCUCUGUUAUAAGGGACGAAGGUUACCAUGGUUAAUACCCGUGGUAAGUGACGGUACCUUAUGAGUAAGCCCCGGCUAACUACGUGCCAGCAGCCGCGGUAAGACGUAGGGGGCGAGCGUUGUCCGGAAUUACUGGGCGUAAAGAGCACGUAGGCGGGAAUAUAAGUCAGGUGUGAAAUACCAGUGCUUAACACUGGAAUUGCAUUUGAAACUGUGUAGCUUGAGUGCAGGAGAGGAAAGUGGAAUUCCUAGUGUAGCGGUGAAAUGCGUAGAGAUUAGGAGGAACACCAGUGGCGAAGGCGACUUUCUGGACUGUAACUGACGCUGAGGUACGAAAGCUAGGGGAGCAAACA